AAACACAUCAUUUAUAUCGUAAUUCAAUGUGAAGGUUUUAAUCAAACAAUUUAAACUGUCAAUAACUAUAGCCUACGUUACAUUUAGCCUUUCAUGACACCAAAAAACAACCAUGUAAAAGAGAGAAUGAUCAUGAAAUCAAAAGGAGGUGGAGAUCUUCUCAUUGUUAUAAUUUUUUGGAAGUAGCAUGUCAUUUGUGAACGAAUCGGGUUAGACAAAUUAAAUUAAAAAUAAUCUUUAAAUCGAACAAAUGAUUUUCGCUCACUUCCACUCUGACUCGCUUAUUCUGCCUUAUAAAGUUUUUAGCAUGUUUUCUUUCUUUUUGAAUUUAUUUUCUUCAGUCUUUGGUCUGUUUUGAGUUUGAAAGAGAUUUGGCGCGAUCAAAUUGGCCAUAGUACGAGAGACUUUGGACACCUCAUUGGCCGCUGGACCGGACGCCGCCAUAUUGGUCCGGGCAACUCGAAUGAAGUGUUCUACAGAAAAGCUCACUGAUUCCCUCACUAUUUUGAGGUUUUACAAAUCUUCGUAAAAUCCUAAUUAUCUCUAGAGAAAUUCACCUUUCGCAUGUGAUUUCGGAAAAUUUACACUUACAACUUUUGUUGUCCAGGGUCACAAAUCACGCAGUGGAACCAACACAAACCUCAAGCAAGCCUGAAGAAAGCCUGCAUGGACUGUUUUGUGCAUUUACAAGAGCCUGCACCUCUUAUGCAUAUUAUAUAAUUUUAUUAAAUUAUA
Long non-coding RNA from Carassius auratus (goldfish), 735 nucleotides. RefSeq lists it as uncharacterized. NCBI's taxonomy places the organism in Eukaryota, Metazoa, Chordata, Actinopteri, Cypriniformes, Cyprinidae. The record is from RefSeq and is a predicted model, not a curated record. The transcript has 3 exons.